RNAcentral lists this long non-coding RNA (18956 nucleotides) under Gossypium barbadense (sea-island cotton). Its description in RNAcentral is "long non-coding RNA (GBAR_LNC002087)". Lineage: Eukaryota; Viridiplantae; Streptophyta; Magnoliopsida; Malvales; Malvaceae. The record is from RNAcentral.
GCCGUUCCACAGGCUUAUAAAAGCCAAAUUUUCUUUUUAAAAUUCAUUCCGUUCGUGUCUAAAAAGAGAGAGAGAGAGGGGGUUGGUUUUUCUAGCCAAUGCGAUUUCUGGCCACCAGAUCACCCUUCGUUCGUCCUCCGACGACUUCCUUAUACGACGGUCAGAUUAAAAAAAGGGGCCUUAAGGCUGUUUUGUCCUCCCUAGGCUCGAUUCAAGGCCAAAAACCCCGAUACUCCAACAGAAAGCCUCGAACCUACGAAGGGCCUUUCGGCCUCCGACCACCCUUCAUCGGGGGUGGCUACCUCACCUCCUCCCUUCUGUUUGACUGUGUAAACAUAAGAAGGUAAGGUUUUCUCGCCUUUCCCUCUUAUUUGUUUGUCCUCUUUCUAAAGAAAAUAAACACAAAAAGGAAUCAAAGAGAAAAAGGAAGAACCGAGAACAAAAAUACUACCUUGAAAAUAUUCUAUUGCGAAUAUCUUUUUUUUUGUAAUUUCUUUGAUUUUGGUCCGUAAAAAAAAUACAAUCUGUUUGUGGCCUUUUAUAUAUCUGAAUGAAAAAGGAAAAAUACAAAAUUUUCUCUUUGCUGUGCUGAUGUUUUUACAUUUGCUUGCAGACGUGGAGGUGUACGGAGUGUGCGAAGGCCGUAUGUUGCGGUGGUAGUGCAUGGAGGCAACGGCGGUACUGUGGAAACCUAGGGUUUUUUGAGAACUUUAAAAUUUUGGCCUAUCAGGCUUGUAUAAUCGGGCUAUCCUUGUAUUUUGGGCUAGGGUUUAAAAUUUGGGCUUAGAAUUUGUAUUGGACUUGGACUACUGAUUUGGAUUUAAUUUGAUUAUAUUAAUUUUUUGUUUUUUCUUUUUGUAUCUGUAUGGCCCCGAGCAGAUCGGGUCUAUUAUACAAAUAAUUUUGCGUUCAUUUUUAAAAUUUAUUAAAUAAUAUAUUUUUAUAAAUUAUAAAAUAUAUAUUUACUAAUUAAAUGAUUGAAAAAUAUUAACUAAUUAAAUCAAAAUAACUGAGAGAAUAAAAUAAUAUUUUAAAAGUAAUGGAAAUGAAAAAAAUGGAAAACAAUUUAUGGUAAAAUAUUAAGUACUUAAAUAAAAUAAAUUUUCAUUUAAAUAUGAAUUAAGAUUUCAUCUAAAAAAAUCAUUACUUUAAUAAUUCAUUGUCUUUGAUAUGAUAUUUCACAACAAAAUGAUAAAUAACAUUCAUAAUUAUGUAAAUAUUAUUAAAAUCAAAUAAUAGUAAAUAAUAAUAACUAAACAUGUCAAAUAAUAAUGAAAAUCAUACAUUUUUUAUUGAUGGAAAACAAACCAAUUAAAUAAUGCUAAAAUAUAUUUUUUAAUAAUUCUUCAGAUGUUAUUUGAAAUGAAAAUCUCUUGCUAAUUAAUAUAUUUAUAGUGCUAAAUAUUAGUUUUAAUUGGUAUAUAACUGUAACACUAAUUAACUGAUAAUUAAUCUAAAAUAAUAAGUGUAAUUUAAUAUGGAUUCAAAGUCUAAUUAAGUGAUAAUGUAGAGUGUGCGUCGUAUUUACAAGACGACCACGACAUCCCAACGAGUUGAACUUUUGAUGAAAAUUUGGGAUGUAAUUGACAAAAAAACAAUUGGCAGAUAAACAAGUUGAAACUGGGAAUAGAUUUUGAUUCGGGAACAAAAAUAAUUAUUAACAAUGGAAAGAAAAUAUUUUCAAAGGAAAAGAUGAAGAAGAAAAAGGAAUAAAUAGAAAUAAGGAAAAUAAAUUUUAUUAGGAUUUGAGAAUGAGUAAUUUGAAUUCUAGUUAGCAUAAGAAGAUAAAAGGUGAUGGAACCUUCAUUCUAUUUGGAUUUCGAAGAAGGAUAAGAUAUGAAUUCUAGAUAAGUUUGAAAAAGAUAAUCAAUAUCCUAUUAUGUUAGGAUAAGGACUAAAUGAUAAGAUUAAACAAACUUUAGGGCGCUAUUUUGGCAAUUAAACCAUUUUAUCGAAAUUAAGAAAAAUGGUAAGGGAUUGGCAUGGCUUGAACUUAGGUGUGUUAGGGAGAAAAAAAGCAAGCUUAACCAUUAGGCUACAACCUAUAUUAUAUUUAUUUUUUACCAUAAUUAAUUCUUAUCCUAACUUGGUUUCCAUUCUUAAUUGCUCGAAAAAUAAAGAGGAAAAAUGCAAAAAGUGGGGUUCAAACUUUAACUUCCAAAGUAAUUUCUUAAACUCUUAACCGCUAAUACUAAAACUCAAUUCCUAUUAUUUUUAGUCAAUUGUAUAUAUCUAUUUUGUGCUUAGCUUGUCUAUUCUUUAUUAACUUAUACUUUUAAUCAAUUAUUUUAUUUAACCUAUAGUUUUUAAUACUCUUCUAUUUUAUUUUUAUAAAUCAUAAUUAAUACUCAUGGUUAGAGGUGUCCAUGGGCCGGGCCAGACCCAACAAAAAAUUUAGGCUUGCUUGUUAGGCUUGGCCCCGACCUGAAAAAAGGGCCUAAAAUUUUUCUCAAGUUUGGAUCGGAUAAAAAAUGUUAAAACUCGAGCCCCAACCCGCCCGUAUUAAUUUUUUAUAUUAUUUUUUUUAAAAUAUAAUACAUAAAAAAUACUAAAAAUUUUAAAAUAAAUAUAUUUCAACAAAUUGAAAAUAAAUUUAAAAAAUUUAUUUACACUUAAAUAGCACUAAGAUAGGUGUAACUUAACAAUCAAAUGCCUCUAAAAUAGUAACAAAAUUAACAAUAAUACAAAAGUUAUAUAAUAUCCAAAUAAUAACAACAAAAUAGUAGCAACAUAGUAGUGAAAUGGUAGCAAAAUAGUAAUAAAAAAAACAACAAGAAAAUAGGGGAAAAACUAAAAAAAAAGUAGUAAGAACAAUAAAAGUAGUACUUUUUUUUAUAUUGAAGCCGGGACAAAAAAAAGCCUUACCCAAUGCCUGACCCAUUUUCUAAACGGGCCUUAUUUAUUUAUUUUUCAAACCCUAUUUUACGGGCCUAUAUUUUUACCAAAACCCUCCCACUUUUUGGGUUGGCCUUCUCGACCUGGCCCAUGGUGUAAUAGCCUGGUUUUGGGCUUAGUCGAAAUAGUGAUUUCGAGACCACAACUCCGAAGUUAUAGAAAUUAUUUUAUUAUUAUUUUGGUGUUAUAGUAUGAUUAGGUAAGUGUAUGAAAAUUUUGGUGAAUUAAUUUUAGCGAUUUCAUGCUUAAUUGUGAAAAAAGGACUAAAUCGCAUAAAGUGCAAAAGUCCUUUUUUGUUAGCUAAAGGUGUAAAUUGACUAUGAAUCAUAGUGUGGAGGUCUUUAAAGGGAAAAUAGACCCUUUUGAGAGAGGUGGCUAGCCAUGGGAGACAAAGGAAUAGAAAAGUCAAUGUUUGGUGAAAUUAGGUGAUUAAAUUGAAUAAAAUAAAACAAAUAGGAUAAGUUGUCAUUUUUCUCAUCUCUCUCCUUCUUUCUCCACUGAUUUUUUUCAAGAAAAAUAGCCAUGGAAGCUUGAAAUUUUCAGCAGCCUCAAACUCUUGCGAGUAAGUCUUCUCGGUGGUCUUUCUUUAUAUUUUUGUGUUUUUGGAAUCCCUAAAGCUUAAUCUAGCUAUUAAGGGGACUAUUUUGCAAAAUGAUUGAGAGUAUAGGGUUUUUCCAUGAAAGCAUAUAAGUUUUUGACCAAAAUUUUAUGGAAGAAAAUGGGUUAUGGUUGUGAAAUAAACAACUUUUGUAAAGGACUUCUCAUGAAAACCCUAAUAGGACUAUCUUGUAAAGUUUAUAAAAUAAAUAGUAAUGUUUUGAAAUAAUGGGAAUUUUGGGUUGCUAUAAGAGUAAGAAGGGUUCGGCUAGGCUUGACUAAUUAGGAAAUUGGACAAAAAUCGAUUUCGGCCUAGGGGUAAAAUGGUCAUUUUAUGGAGUCUAGGGGAAAAAUGGUAAUUUUACCUAAAUUAUAAAUUUAUUGAGCAUUUAGAUUUAAUUGAAGAUUAAAUGACUAAAUGUUUCCAUUUUAGAUCAAGAAAUACGAAAAUCAGACUUGGAUCGGGGGAAGGCCAAGCUUGUGGAUUAAGCCGACUAAUUGCUCACAUUUUGUAAACCAAGGUAAGUUGUACGUAAAUAAUGCAAUUAAAUGUUAUCAUGUAUUAUAUAAUUAGUUUGGCACAAAUUGUUGAGUUGUGAUGAGAAUGUGAAUUUAUGUAAUAAAAACUUCUAGGUGAACAUUUGGAAUAGACUUGGAUACUUAUACCAUGACAUUGGGUGAUAUGUGUGCUAGUGUAAGACAUGUCUGGGACAUGCAUCGGCCACAUCAUGAGAGCCAGUGUAAGACAUGUAUGGGACAUACAUCGGCCUCGAGAUAUACAAGCUAGUGUAAAACCUGUCUGGGACAUGGCAUCAGCUUGUUAUGUGUCAAUGUAAGACCUGUGUGGGACAUGGCAUCAACACUGAUAGAUGAGAGCCAGUGUAAGACCUGUCUUGGACAUGGCAUCGACCUUGUUAUAUGAAAUUCAGUGUAAGACAUGUCUGGGACAUGGCAUCGACUUGAUGUGUUAGCCAGUGAAAGACCAUGUCUAGGACAUGGCAUUAACAUCUUAUCCCAUGUUUGGGGUUAUUGGGUAUCCUGUAGUAUUCUAAAUGGUUCAACGGAAGAUUUAUGAUUUAUAUCAAGACAAGAAAAUUUAUGACCAUGUGGUGAGUGGUACAGGUACCUACUUGAGAUGUAUUAGAUGUGGACUCAAUACAUGCUAUAUGAAUUGUAUUGGAUGGUGAUGAGUAAGUUGUGCUUAUAUUUAUUUAUUUUAUUCGAGAACAAGCUAUGAAAUUGUUAUGAGCAUAUUGUGGUUUGAUAAUUAGUUAAUGUUUAUUUACAUGCAACUUACUAAGCUUUACGCUUACCCCUUUUUCGUUUCCAUUUUCUUAUAGUGCUACCAAAGUAGCUCAUGGAUCAUCGUCUACGUCGGAGAAGCCAGUCACACUAUCAUUUGAAGCACUUGGUAUAGUUAGUUCUUUUGUUUUGAUUAUGGCAUGUAUAGGAUCUUUUAAUUUUGUUUCAGUGUCACAUUGUUUGGGGGCCAAAUGUGUUGGCUUACUUUAGUAUUUGACUCAUUUUGUAUAAGGCCAUGAAAAUGGCCAAUAUUGAAAGUUUUUAUAUGAAUACAAUAAGGUUUUUCAUGAAUGCGAAAUUGUUGGUCUAGUUGAACAUGUGAAUUUCAAUGUUUGGAUAGCAAAGGGUAUGAAUUGGGUACUUAAGCAUAUGUGAAAUGGCUGUGUGUCUCAGCCGUGUGGAGGACACGACCCUCGGCCACGGGCGUGUGCCCCUAAAUUUUUACUAACGUUAGAAACAGAAUGUCAAGGUUUUUAAACACAGGCUAAGACACGGGCGUAUCAUGGCCGUGUGAGGGACACGGGCCAUGGACAUGGGCGUGUGUCAGGCCGUGUAAAAAUCCCUGUAGGUUCGAAAUUGAAAAUUAAUUCACACGGGCUCAGGACACAGGCGUGUCCCUAUGACUAGGUAAAAAAGGUAGCACGAGCUUGUUGCCUUUCCACACGGAUGUGUGCCCCUGUUUCAAGUGACAUUUUUUAAAGUUUUCAAAGAUGUUUGGAUUAAUCUCGGGAUAUUUCCAAAAUGUGAUUUGAGCUCCGUAGGCCCAUAUUAAGAACUUUUAGAUUAAGAGAGAAAAGUUUUAAAUUUGAUCUAGAUUUUGUAACUCGAAAAUGAUUGUAUGCAUGUGUGUAAGUCAGGUAAUGCCUCAUGCCCAGUCCCGACCUCGGACUCGGGUAAGGGUUGUUACACAUGGGCAGGUCUACUCAUGGUCAAGACUCACUAUUAAUAUUUUAAUUCACUCAUGGUCAAGACUCACUAUUAAUAUUUUAAUUCACUUUUACCCUUUUUCCAUUUAGGUCCUAACUAAAUGAAAACACAUCAUUUUCAAAUUAGUCCUCCUAAUCAAGUUUCAUUUUUUUAAACUAACCCCAAAUUGUUUUGGGAUGUUAUAAAAACUUUAUUAAACCUUUUUGACUUAAGGGUGUAAAAAGCUUUCUAACUUUUUUUUUUAUUUUAAAAAAGGAAAUUAAGCUCCUACUUUUUUUUGCACUCAAUUGAGUACUUUAACUUUCAAAAUGCAUAAAAAAGACCCUCAAAUUAAAAAAAACAAUUAAGCACCUUUUUUUUUGCAUUCAAUUGGGUACUUGAACUCUCAAAAUGCAUCAAAAAGGUUAUUUGAUCGUUAACUUUAACAGUUGUCUGUUAAAAUUAACUGUUCCUAAUUUUUUUCGAUUAAAGCCAUCCCGUGUCACAGCCACAAGUGACAUGUGACAUAAAAUUAUAAAAAAAAUAGAAAUCAAUAAAAGUUAUAAAAGGUUACUAAAUUUUAUUCAAAGUUAGGAAAAAAUAUUAAAAAAUAUAUAAAAAUUGUAAAAUUUUAUAAAAAUCAUUAAAGAUUGUAAAAUGCAUUAAAAAAACCCCUUUAACCAUUAACUUUAACCAUUGACCAUUAAAGUUAACGACCCUAAUUAUUUUCCAGUUAGAGCUAUCACGUGUCGCAACACUGCGUGACAUGUGGCGAAAAAUGAUAAAAAAAAUAAAAAAUCAAUAAAUGUUAUAGAAAAAUUAUAAAAUGCUUCUUUUGGCACGAUAAUUUUUAUAAUUUCUUUUAUGAAUUUUAUAUUUCUUUACAAUUUUUAUAAUUUUCUUGCAAUUUUAUAAAAUUUUAAAACUUCUAUAUUUUUGCGAUUUUUAUAAUUUUUUAUAAUUUUUAAUAGUUUUAUAUUUUUUAUUAAAAUUUAAUAUUUUUAUAACUUUUAUUAUUUUUUAUUAUUUAUAAUUUUUUUCCACAUGUCACGUUGUGGUUGUGACACGGGGUGGCUUUAACUGAAAAAAUUAGGAGCAAUUAACUUUAACGGUCAAUUGUUAAAGUUAACGAUCAAAGGGCCUUUUUGAUGCAUUUUGACAAUUUAAGUACCUAAUUAAGUGCAAAAAAAUGCAAGGGCUUAAUUUUUUUUUUAAGUUUAAUUUUUUUUAAGUUUAAGGGUAUUUUUUAUGCAUUUUGAAAGAUCAAAUACCCAAUUGAGUGAAAAAAAGAGAGACUUAAUUGCUUUUCUUGAAAAAAGUUUGAGGGCUUUUUAUACCCUUAAGCCAACCUUUUUCAAUCAUAAAACCCCAUUUCACUUUCUUUCCUAAAGAAUAUAGACACCCAAUUUUGUUCAACUCCCUUGAUUUGAAUUUCAGGGUGAUUGGUCUGUAAGUCUUUGAAAAUGUUUGGACUUAUUUGAAUUUUUAGUUUAAUCUCGAGAUUAAAUUAAAUUUUUAAAAUUUAGUGAUGGGCUAAUUAUGAAUUAAUCUUUUUUAGGAAUUUAGAAGUUGUUAUAUGUUGUUGAUGUAAAAAAAAAAAGUAACGAUAAAAGAUAAAAAUAGAGAGUAGAUGUGCAAAUAUUUUUUUACAUAUUUUAGACCUUAAUUCACUCACAUUUGCAUUAUUCUUAAGUAAGGUUUAGUUAAUUUUGAGUUAAUAGGUUCAUUUUACAAAUAGUUGUAGUUUUAGAUUAUUUUAAUGUUUUAUAUUAUUUUUAAUCCUUUUAAAUAAAUAAUUUUUUCAAGGUCUUUUUGUAGGCAUUGGAUUUAGUUCAAGAGAGGAAAAACGAUUUUGUAAUAAGUGGAGUGAGUAAAAAGUUAGAAAGUGAAGAAGUUUGAAUCUGCCUAAAAAGGUAGUGGUGUAGAUUCUUCAAGCCAUGGUCUUGGCCCAGUUUUGCUAAAUUUUUUUUAUUUCGAUUAUAAAUGAACUUUUUGAUUUUUUCACUACUGGUUUGAGAUUUCGUCCUAAAAAGCCUUUAAAUAACAGAAGAAAGGUGUUUCCUUUAUUUUGAGAGUCUUUGAGUUUUAUUUAGUUACUUUUCUUAAUUUUACUUUGUUAGCCAUAUAACUUUUAACUUCUGAAUUGUCUUGUGAAUUGUAGCAACUAUUUUAUAGAUUAUUUAAGAUUGUCAUGCUUCGUCGCUAUAUCUCUUAUAUUGUUUGUCAAUUUACAAUAAGUUAAUUAUUUAUGUGGUUGGGAAAUUCAUAAGUUAAUGGCUUAGUAUUCGAAACAAGAGUAGAACUUUAUUUAGGAUUAGGCCAAGGCAAAACUAUCAAGCCAUGGUGAGACUUGCUCGCUACACCUCUGAGAUCGAGCCAAAACAAGUAGAUGAUGCUUUGAGGGAUGUUAAUUGGAUUCAAGCCAUGUAGGAGGAGAUAAAACAAUUAAAGAGGAAUAAGAUUUGGAAGUUAGUGCCUAGAACUACUAAUUGUAACACAAUUGACACAAAGUAGAUUUUCAGAAUAAAACAAAUGAGCAUUGUUGAGAAUGUGCCUUAGACUUGCUGAAUAAUAGGUCUGUAGACCAAGUUUUCAGGGAUUUUUAACUUUGUGGCAUGAUUUUAUGAGAAAGUUAAGUGACUAGAUAUCAACAAGAUAUAUUUUAUGUUAUUUUUUUAGCUAUAUAAUCUGAACAAUACAAUAGAUUAUAGUGUGCAUCCAAUAUAUUUUUUCUUUCAUUUUCAUGUUUCAUAUUUUUUACUAAAAUACCAACAAUAGGUAUUAGAGCUGUUAUCUUAAAGGAUCUGUGAGUUGAGAGAAACACAUAAGCUUUAGACAUGGAAGCUGACACAACGUUUUCUCAUAUUGUUUUACCAAUUUUUUAUGGUGACAAUUAUCAAGUUUGGGCUGUUAGAAUGACAAUCUAUCUUGAUGCGAUGGAUCUUUAGGAAGCAGUAGAAGAAGACUUCGAUGUUUCGUCAUUAGCAGCAAAUCCGACAAUGAAUCAACUAAAGACUCACAAAGAGAAGAAUACAAGGAAUUCCAAAGCUAAAGAAUGCCUUUUCUUGACUGUUCAAACAAAAUAUUUACAAGAAUCAUGAAUUUGGGGUCAGUAAAAGAAAUUUGGGACUACCUCAAUAAAGAAUACUAGGGCAAUGAAAGAACAAAAAUAUGCAGGUGCUUAAUUUGAUCAAAGAGUUUGAAAUGUUGAAAAUGAAAGAGACAGAAAUCAUUAAAAAUUAUUUUGACAAGUUGAAGGGCAUAGUAAACAAGGUAAGAUUGUUGGGUAAGGAUUUUUCUAAUGAUAGACUAGUGCAAAAAAUUCUUGUCACUAUGCCUGAAAAAUAUGAGUUUAAAAUUUCUUCAUUAGAAGAAUUUAAGGAUUUAUCAAGUAUAUCCUUGGCAGAAUUAGUGAAUGCAUUGUAGGCUUCAGAUUAAAGGAGAAAGAUGAGACAAGAAGCAUUAGUAGAGGGUGCUUUUCGGGCAAAGUUUGAAAUUUUGUGAGGUAAAAAUUAGAAAACUAAAGAUAAGACCAGCAAUAAUAACAACAACGAGACAUAUCCACCAUGUCCACACUGUAAGAAGACAAAUCACUUUCCAAAGAAGUGUUGGUGGUUGCUUGAUAUCAAAUGCAGAAAAUGUAGCAGUAUUGGGCACAUAGAACGAGUCUGUAAGUCUCAAUAACAUGAAGAGGCAAAAAAUCUAUUGAGCAACAAGAAGAUGAGUUCUUUUUAUGGCAACAUGUUUCUCCAAUGGUUCUUAGUUGAUCAAUAGCGGCUGCACAAAUCACAUGACCAAUGACCCAACAAUUUUCAAAGAACUUGAUAAAACUAUCAUUUCCAAAUAAAAGUUGGAAAUGGUGAGUUUAUUCCAGUUAAGGAAAAAGGAACAGUGGCUAUUAAAAGUUUAACAUGUUUGAAACACAUAACUGAUGUUCUAUAUGUGCCUAACAUUGAUCAAAAUCUUCUUAGUCUUGGGUAAUUAAUUCAAAAAGGUUUCAAGGUCAUAUUUGAAAACAAAUGGUGCUUGAUCAAAGACUCAAAAUGUAGAGAUAUAUUCAAAGUAAAAAUGAAAGGAAAAAGCUUUGCUCUAAAUCUAAUGGAGGAGAAGCCAACAAUGAAGCAAUUACUACAGACUCCUCAGUACUUUAAUGACAACAUAGAUGAUGUUCCAAUUUGUGACACAAGAUUUUUAUCUAAAAUUUAUGAAAGGUGUAAUGUUGCUGUAUUUAAGUAUGUUGAGUUUAAAAAAGCUAAGAAACAUGACAAGUGGAUUGAAGCAAUGAGAGAAGAGCAGUCCGAGAAAUUCCAAGUCGAGAGACAAGAGGAGAAAGUCUACAUGUUAAACAAGGCCUUAUACAAUUUUAAACAAGCUCUUGGGACUUGGUACAACAGGAUUGAUGAAUAUCAUUUGAAAAAAGAACAGAAGAUUGGUAAAAUCAAGUCGAUUUUUUGCAAGACUGAAGAUCAAAUUGCAGAUAUGUUAACCAAUGCUCUUCCAAAAGUUAGAUUUAAAGUUUUAAGAAAUAAAUCAGGCUUUUGCAAUUACUAAGGCAAGGAGGAGUGUUGAGAAUGUGCCUUAGACUUGCUGAAUAAUAGGUCUGUAUACCAAGUUUUUAGGGAUUUUUUAUUUUGUGGCAUGAUUUUAGGAGUAAGUUAAGUGGCUGGAUAUUAGCAGGAUAUAUUUUGUUAUUUUUUUUAACUAUAUAAUCUAAAUAAUACAACAAAUUAUAGUGUGCUUCCAGAAUAUUUUUUCUUUCACAUUUUUUUUUGUUUCAUAUUUUUUACUAAAAUACCAACAAGCAUGAAAACAUAAUCUGCAACAAGGCCAGACUCGUAGCCCAAUGGUAUACUCAAGUUGAAGGUAUUGAUUUUGAAGAAACUUUUUCUCCGAUGGCUACACUUGAAGCAGUUAGAUUGUUACUUGUUGUGGAAACACAUCUUAACAUCAAACAGUAGCAAAUGGAUGUUAAGAGUGCAUUUCUAAAUGGAUUUUUAAAUGAGGAACUUUAUGCAGCACAACUUAAAGGGUUUGAGACUUCAACAAACCCAGAGCAUGUCUACAAACUAAGUAAGACAUUGUAUGGUCUAAAACAAGCACCUCAAGCUAGAUAUGAAAGGCUAUCUCAAUUUCUAAUUGCCCAAAGAUUUCAAAGAGGGUCAAUUGGUAGGUCUUUAUUCAUUCGAAGCCACAAAUGCACUACAACUAUGACCUAAAUUUAUGUUAAUGACAUAAUAUUUGGUGCUACAUCAACAACUACAAAGGACUAAUUUAUAAAAAUGAUGUAAAGCAAAUUUGAGAUGAGCAUGGUAAGGAAGUUGUCAUAUUUCCUUGAAUCCCAAAUCAAGCAAUUGGAGAAUGGGGCAUUCCUAUCUAAUGAAAAAUAUGCAAGGAAUAUGGUGAAGAAGUUUGGACUUGAGAGUUCUAAGCCUGCUAGGACAUAUAUGGCUAUUAAUGAAAAUUUAUAUACAAAAGUUGACGAAGUACCCAUUUUCGCAACCACAUUCAAAAACAUGAUUGGAAAUUUAAUUUAUCUCAUAGUUAGUCGUCUCGAUUUGUGUUUUAGCAUGGGUAUAGUUUCCAGAUACUAGACUAAUCCAAGAGAAUCUCAUGUCAAGGCAUCUAAAUGGAUUAUAAGGUAUGUCUAUGGAACACCUGAGCUUGGAAUUUGGUUAUUUAAAGAUAGUGUGCUAAGUUCACUAGGGUAUAGUAAUGCUAAUUGAAUUGGGAAUAUGGAUGAUUGUAAAAAUACAUCUGGAUGGUGUUUUUACUUAGGAUCCAAUUUAGUUUCAUGGUACAACAGAAAGCAAGGAUCAAUCUCACUUUCUACACUAGAAGCAGAGUACAUUGUUGUUGGUAGCUAUUGUGCUUAGCUACUUUGAAUGAGACAUAUGAUGAAGGAUUUUGGGAUUGUUAUACAAGUUGUCACGACCUAUUGUGACAAUACUAGUGUCAUAAACAUUUCAAAGAAUCUAUUGCCACAUGCAAAAACCAAAUACAUUGAUAUCAGACACCAUUUAAUUCGGGAAUUAGUUGAGAAUGAGCUUGUUGAAUUAAAGUAUGUGCCCACUCAAAGCCAACUAGUUGAUUUGUUCACCAAAACCUUGUAUUCAAGCAUGUUUGAGAGUUUGAAAAGCUUAGUUGGGGUUUGUCGAGCUUGAAGAGUUGAUAGUACAUGAAAGACAUCCACAUGAUUGGACUUGAUGUCAUUUUGAUGUAUUUAGGAUAAUUGUGUAGUUAAUUAAUUUGGUUAAAUUUUUGUAGGCUAAUGGAAUUAUUUUUGGAGAUUUUUCUUUCUCAUUAUCUUGGAGGGAAUUUUUUAUCUUGAGAAUUGUCAAACUUUAUUUGCUAUAAAUACCACAUUAUAUAUCGUAUAAUUAGAUUCUUUAAACAUCAAAUUCCCAAAAGCUCUUCUAGUCUCAAAGCUUUCAAAUUAUUGCUUCUUGACUAAAACCCCAACUUGUACCACAAGAAAACUUCUAGGUAACUCCAAUGGUUCGAGUAAAAGCAACCUAAAAAAAAAACAAUUUUAAAAACAACGACAAGAUUAAUCCACUGAAAAGGGGACUUCCAAUGAAAAAACAAAGGAGGUGCACUUAUUUAGAGUAUUUUGAGAAUAGAUAAUAUAUUAUUCUAAAAAAUAGUGCUCAUUGUAUCAUACUGAAUACAACUGUUUUUAUUUUCAAAAUACAUCAAUAAUUAUUGCAUGUUGUAGCUACAAACAUGUUGAUUCUAUAUAUAUAUAUUAAUUUAAAAGCUUAUUUCAUUAUCCCAUUUCUGUUAGAUCACUUUUAAUUUAAGUUAACCUAUUAUGAUAUUAAAUAAUAAUAACAUAUAACUAAGUAUAUAAUAUAUGUGAUGUUCAUAUUUUCUAACAAUCUCUUAAUAUAUUUUCACACAUAGUGAUGAAUCUAAAUUACUGUCCUGUUUUCUUUGUAAAUCUUGUACAUUUCUUGCCCUUCGCAGCUCCAGUAUUUUCUGCACUCUCAACAAUCAAGAAUGGUAUUAGUAUCUAUUACUUCGACUCAUCAAAAAUUUUAAAGUAUUAAUGAGUUAAAUUAGAUUUAUAUAUGAUAUCAAUAUACUUCAUAUUUAUCUAAGUCAAAAUAAAAUAAAAAUGUGAACCCUUAAACAAAUCUAAUAUGGCAUUUUAUGCCUAACACAUAUUUAAAUAUUGUACGAAGAUAUAAAUCUCUAAAAGCCCAUAAAAUAUAUGAAAAGAAGUUAGGAAAAAUUGAAUAUAUUUAUGUGGAGCACAUACAAUAAGUUUUAACCGUAGGUUUUGGGCAACUUGUCACCUCCGCAAACAACUGAUUUCAGCUUGUCAUACCUGAGAUGAUUAAAGUUAGAUGAAAAGGGUCGAAAAUUCUAGCUAGUUUAAAGGAUUUUAGGCUUGUUAAAGCAUUUAAGAACAUAUCUUUAUUUGGCAUAAAAAUCGUAAUUUAGUAUCAGAAUAUUAAAAACUUACUUGCACUCGCUCACUUGAUGGCUUGAGCUAUUAGGACUCAAACUCUGUUCGAGAAUAAUUAAAUGAAUCAAGCGAACUAAUACUUACCAUUCAUCUCCUGGUGCUAUUGGAAUUGUAGCAGAUUGAGAGCUUGGUUUGGAAUAUGAAUGUACUCUUUCUACUUCCUUACAUUUAUGUUUCAUUGGCUUAUCCUUGGAAUUUUCCACUGUUUUUUUUUUUACAUUAGUUUCAUUAGUUUCUUCAAAAAAUAGACAUGUUUAUAAAAGUUUAUGCAAAAUUGUUGGAAAAAUUACCUGCACUUUUAGUUUUCUUGAGGGAGAAUUGAGUGGUUAUUCUAUUAGAAUGAAGCACACCAUUCCUGCUAUUUUCUUUCUUGAAGCUCCCUCUCUUGAGCUUCGCUGCUUUAGCCUCUUCGACUGAUUGAAUAGCAAAUGCAGCCGCUGCAAUGGCGGCUUCAUGUGCGCCUGGUUUCGGACGAUUAUCUUCACCGUUUCUACUUGAAAACUGCUUCUGGAACCAGUUCUGUUUUCUAAGGAAACAACCAAAAAAAAAAAAAAAGAGUCAAAAUGAAUGUGGAAUAUGAAUAUAUGUAGACACUUAUAUGUUUGUUCCACAUUAAAAACACUACUUUAGGUUCAACAUUUUGUGAUGUUUUAUUGUCAUUUUGGGGACCUUAUUUGCAGUACUUUAGAUACAUUAAAAACAGUUCGUUCCAGAAUAUAUAUUUUCAGUUCAGAUACUGUUUUUUUUUUUUCUCUUUGCUUAAAUUUUAAUCUAACAAGAAUCUAGUUUUAAAAAAAGGGGGACAAUCUGAUAACUAAUUCUUCUUUGCCAAGAACCAAAUCGACGUUGGUCGGAAAACGGACUCCUUACAUAUAAGUAGGAAGAAUGAAGGUACGGAUACUUUAAAUAAGAUUAUAUUACGAUAAAAAUACACAAAAUUAAAAAAUUGUUAUGUGAAUAUGCAAAUUAUAGAACAAAAAUAAAGAGUGAUAGAUGCAUACAUACAUACCUGGUUUGCUUGAAUUGAUGUUCCAUCUUCAGACAAACUUUAGAUUGCACAACUCCCCUGUUGUGUAAUAAUCUGAUUUUGUUCCCAGAAAUGGAAUGUAUGAUUUGCAAAGAAAACUUGCUAAGAACACAUAUUUAUAGCUUCUUACAUGAAAAAGGGAAGUGAAUUAAGUCAAAUUCACAUGCACAUUUGAUGAAAGCUGACUUCCUUGCUUGCCAUAUUAUUCACCUUUACUACAAAGUCUUAUCUUAGGUAUUAUUUUUCGGUAUUAACACAUAUUUAUUAUAUUUAAAAAAUUAAUUUCAUGUCAAACUUAUACUUGUAGUUAAUAUUUUGUUUAAUAUUGUUCCGAAGUGAAUAUGAAAAAACAAAGGGUUAAUUUCAUAAGAAACCCUUAAGUUAUGACCUCGAUUUUAAAUUUGUUUUCAAAUUUUCAAAUUUUCUAAUUCUAUCAAUUUAAUUGUAAAUUUAGGCGUUAAAUAUCACUUCAAAUUUGAUGUGAAGCAUAUUUAAAAUAUAGAUCAAAUAGUAAACACAUAAGUACCUACUAUAUGGGCAAUUUAAGUAUGAUGUGUUAAAAAUGAAAAAAAAAAAAAGUAAUCGUCCUAAAAUUUUAUUAAUAUCAUGUUCUUUAAUAUGUCAAAUUCAAAUUAUCCAUGUGAUAAAUACACACAUGUUUACAAUUUAAUAUAGCAUUAAAUCUGGGUUGGAUAGCUAGCUAAUGAAGAAUCUAAUUGAUACAAUACCGAUACUAUAUUUUUUUAAAAUUUAAGGACCAAUUUAGAAUCUUAGUAAUAGUUUGCGGACGUUUAAUGAAUAAACCCGAAAAAGAAAAUGAAAGAAAGUAAAGUAAAGAAAUAUAAACAAAGUAAAAAAGAAAGAAGGGACCAAUUCUUAUUCCAUUUCUUUUUCAGCUAUAUAUAUUCCUUUAGCCUCCGUUACCGUUCAAUAAAAAAGGGCAUAUGAAACGCUGGCGAAUGGAUGGAAUCUAGGGGCUUUUUGUGGGCAUAUUUGAAACCAAAAUUAAUCCCACAUCGCUAAAAUCUCAUUCUACAUGGUUGAAAAUAAGUGAACGGAUAGCAUGAUUUGAAGAGAAUACUUGGUGCUUCUGUUCGUUCUUUUUAUUAUUUUAUAAUGCCAUAUCUCUUUUGGAUAGUUCCUCAGCAAUUUCAGAACCAUGAUUUGUUCCCUUAAUUAACAACUAGUGGCAGAUAGAUAGAAUCCGCAAUAUCCACGUUAGUCUACAAUAUAGGUGAACAAACUUUGAUUGGAUUAAAAAAAAAUUAAAUUUUGAGUUAAUCGAGUUAACUCGAAUAAGUAAUUCGAGUUUUUAGUUUAAAUUGAAUUAAACUUUACUAUUCGAAUAACUCAAAUAAUUUGAAUAACAGAUUGGUGUAAAUACUCUUUUGGUCCCUGUCAAGUUUGAAAAUGAGCAAAUUGGUCUCUCUCAACAAAAAAUUACAAAAAAAUUAAAAUAAUUUUCAAAAAUUCAAAAUAUUUAUAAAAAUUUUUAAAAAAAUUAAAAAUAUAUAGAGAAAGUUAAAAAAAUAAAAUUUUUUAUAGAAUAAUAAUUUUAGGGACCUAAAUAAGAAUUAACGAUUCAAGAUUAUCAUAGUAGUGUAUUUUUUUUUAUUUUGCUUUGAAAAAGUUUUCAAAUAUAUAUAGUUUCAAAUUUAUGUGUUCUAACAUGGAAUUAGUUAUACUGUAAUAAAAUUUUAAUUUAACAUGUUUAAUUUUUUAAGUUGAACAAUUUUACUUGAUUCGACUCAACUUGAAUUUCAUUUCAUCUGACUUGAUUAAAAAAAUUUCAAAUCGAGAUAGGAUGAUAAAAUAGGACUCCUGAACUCGAAACUUUUUCACUCGACUCGAUUGAACGCUCACCCCUAGUCCAAUGAAUAUUUAAAUAAAUGUACAAUGAUUUACACAUGAAAAUGAGUACUAUAGAUAGAGAGUUUUGAAAAAAAAUUUAUACAACAUUUAGAACUAUUCAUAAUCUCUCCUUAACUCCUUAAAUAUGAGGAUAAAUGUGUUUGAGCGUGUUCGAGUUCACGUCCUCAUGUACUGACAACAAUAACAAUACAAAUCAAAUUAAAAUUCGGUCCGCAAGAGCUUUGAAAUUGUAGCAACUCUAACUCUGAUCUUCCAUUUAAAUUUUUGUCUCUUUUAAUCUUCAUUUUAGUUUUAAAGACUGAAAAGGACAAAAAAAAAUUAAAUAAAAAACUAAAAUCAAAAUAAAAUAAAUUGUAAUUUUGGUAUUGUAUAAGCAGUUUGUGAUGAAAAGGAGAAAAAGAGUGGAGAUUCAAGUUGUUUUCCAUUUUCCAUUUCUUAAAUUUUUUUAAUCUCUUGCUUUACUUUUAUUAUAUAUAGGACAAUAAAAGUGUAGAUAGAAAGUGGAGGCACAGCAUCGUCCUUCAAUUAAAUUAAAGGUAAAAAGUUAAUCAAUAAAUGGUCUAUAAUUAACGAAGCGUAAACUUCACUUUUACGUUUAAAAUAGCAAAGAUGUGAAUGGUAGUAUGGAAUCAAUACAGAAGGAUGGUUCGGUUUAACUAUGAAUAUAUUCAGUAUGUCUUAAAAACCAAACUUUACUUAUAAAUAAUAUUGUGUAUGAAUGAUCAAAAGGAGGGCAAGUUGACAAAGUAUAUAGAUACCAAUUGUCCAGCUGGACAUGCAGAGCUAUCAUCACUGCUACUUGCCAAGUUUAAUUGAUGAAGACUAAGAGUGCUCUCCUGUUAUUUCACCCAAGGAACAAUCUUGCAUUGCUUCUCUUUUAUUUAUUUACAAAAAGUUUCUAGUUUCUGUAUGAGUAGCCCGGCUGAGGAAUAGAUCGAGUUGUAUGGCUGGAUUAUUUGCAAGACAAAGGCACCAAACCUUGUGUAAGUCAAUGCUUUAGUAAGAUAGAUGAUUAUGGAGAAAAUAUGUAAGAGAGAGGUCAUACUUGAAGUGACGUCAAGGUCUGGUAUCUAGAGUAGUUGAUUCUCGGGUUGCUCGUUUAGUUGAUUAAUGAUUGAUUGAUGUAAUGUCGACGGUUAUCAGUUCAUUUUUCAUACACGUCUACUAGUUGUUAGAAGCUUCUCCUUUUAGAGAGAUGAAUCUUUUUUAAGCCACAUUAUUAUUAGGUUUUUUGAGCUUAAAUGUAGUAAUUUAUCAUAUUUAAUAAAUUAUUCAAUUGAUUAUAUAGUUUAUUGAUUACUUAUAUUAAAUUACUAAGAAAUUGUAUCAUAAGGAUUGUUUUAUGUGCUGAAAACAAUUUGUGCUAGUUGGAAAUUUAAAUGAAAAAUCUAUAGUCCACGGAAUCACCAAGAUCAAAUGAUUCAUAUUAUAUUUAUUAUGUUGCCCAUAAAUUCAAAUCGGGAGACAGUUUGUCUUGACUAUUGGAGUAGGAUUGACUCCUAAGAUAGAGACAUAGAUUUGAUUAUCUAGAUUGACAAUACAUUGGACUGGACUCAAGAUGAACUAAUUUUAACUUCGUUUAUAGAUUAAUUCACUUGUGGCAUUUAUUAUGUAUUUACCUUAAUCUUUCAAAGUAGUAAGCAAAAGGUAGAUAAUGGAACCAUAGUUCAAAUAAAGAGUCAAAGGUAUCUUCUUAAAGGUGUUAUAUGAUUGGUGUAGAUAAAAUUUGGUCAGACUAAUAAUGACUUGAAUCAUUUAAUGAAUGGUCGAUAAUUCACAUAAUAAUAUAUAAGGAAAUUUUAAGAAAAAUGAUAAAAAUUAGUAAGUCAACAAAAUCUAAAAGGAUUGUAGGUGCCUUACGAGGGUAAUGCACAAAUGAUAAAAUUAUUAGACAAAAGGUUUUUAGAUACAACUAUUUGUAAUUAUAUAUAUUUGGGAGUUCAAUCAUGAUACUUUAAUAGUAAGUUUUGUGGUUUAGUGAUAAUGUAAUUAAUAAAUGAAGAGUUGAAACUUAACCACCUGUUAUUUCAACUCGCAAUAUAUAUAUGUUCAAUUGAUCCCUUUACUAACUAACUAUAACUCUAUAAUGUUAUUGUUAGAAUUGAGUAACCCGAAUCCUUCUUAAAAUAUAAAAUAAAAUAAAAGUAAAAUCAAUAUAAAUCUACACUUCUUUUAUUUCAGAAUAAGGUUUUUAAACCUUAUUAAACUCCAUCUAUUUGAUAUUGAUUAGAAUAACGUGUUUCAAUCUUACUACACUCCUAUUAGAAUAUGAUUUUACAAUCCUAUAAAUAGACAUAUUAUACUCAUCUUGUAAUCAUUCAAAUUCGACAUAGUGAAUUAUCUUCUCAUCUACCCGUGGUUUUUUUUCCUGAAAGGGUUUCCACGUAAAAAUAUGUGUGUUCUUUAUUUUUCUUUCUCUUUUCUUUGCAAUAUAUCGUCAUUAUCGACGUUUUAUUUUUCACAAAUUGGUAUCAGAGCUUCCAGGUUGUUCAUCUCAAUCACGGUAAUGGCAUCUUUGAAGUAUGAAAUUUCACUAUUGAAUCACAACACUAGAUUCGUAUUGUGGUAGAUAAAGAUGAAAGCAUUUCUUGCGCAGAUAGACUUAGAGGAUGCCCUGCUAGGGAUAGAUAAGAUGCUUCGACAUUGAUGGAGGAAGAGAAGAAACGUAAGGAUUGAAAGGUGUUAACACAGUUACAUCUGCAUUUGUCUAACAAAAUUUUGCAGGAUGUGGUGAAGGAGAAAACCAUCGCUGCAUUAUGGAAGAGGCUGGAACAAAUAUGUAUGUCGAAAACUCUAACCAGCAAGUUGCAUAUGAAGCAGUGUCUUUAUACUCAUCGUUUGGAGGAAGGUGCGUCUGUGAGCAAACACUUAACAGUGUUUAAAAAA